GGGGAAUAUAAAGAAAGGGAAGAUUCCAAUAGAAAAGGAAUGCCCUACAUAAAAUCUUAUUUAAAAAAAUGUUUUGAUAUAAAGGAAAAUACAAUUUUGAAUAGGCCAUGACAAAUCAACACUUAUAAAGAGUAACAAGUGACGCAAUUGGAAUGAAAGAAGCUAAAAAUAACAUCUUUUUUCUCAGUAAAAGUUAGAAUCACAUCUUGCGAGCACAUCAUUUCCAGUUGGCACUAAACAACAAAAUAAACAGGUAAUUUUCCAGAUUCAAGAACACAAAAGGAUUGAAACAGCAUUGACCCUUCCUAUUCCAAGGCCUCAGCACCAUACAACCAAGAAAAUAAACUGUUCCCCUGUAAACACUUGAGUAAGUAACUUGUACAAAAGAAUCCAACUCAUUCCAAUCUAAAGAUAGAGAAAUUGCACAUAUCUCCAGGAGGGAAUUUACACAUUCCCCACAAACUAUGCCACAAAAGGGUAACAAAGAUAUGUUCACACAUAGCAAUAACAACAAUUAGGACCCAGUCCCAACUAAGUUAGGGUCAUCUAUAUGAAUCAUCACUUCUUCGUUUAAACUCAACUCAUAUACAUGCAUAUAAAAAUUGCACAUAUCUCAAGGAGGGAAGUUAAACAUAUCUCACAAACAUGUCACAUUCACAAAAGGGUAAUAAAGAUAUGUCAACACAUUGCAACAACAACAACAAUAAGGACUCAGUCCCAACUCCCAAUCAAGUUAAGGUCAGCUAUAUGAAUCAUCGCUUCUUCGUUUAAACUCAACCCAUAUAAAUGCAUAUAAAAACUGCACAUAUCUCCAGACGGGAAGUUAAACAUGUCAUAUUCACAAAAGGGUAAUAAGGAUAUGUUCACACAUUGCAUCAACAACAACAAUUAGGACUCAAUCCCAACUCCCAAUCAAGUUAGGGUCAGCUAUAUGAAUCAUCACUUCUUCGUCUAAGCUCAACUCAUAAAUGGGUUGCUCAGAUGGUAAGCAUCCUCCACAUCCAACUCUAAAAAGAAGCUCAACUCAUAUACAUGCAUACAAAAAUUAAAGACACCCCAUAUACAAGAAAACAAAAAAAGACACAAACUUUGCAAGAAUAUCAAUAUGGGUGUCUCUAAUUUUAAGCUACAACAAAAAGGGGCAAAGAGAAAAAUUAGCUUACUGUUCACCCUCAUCAAAAGCAGGAGGAGGAGGUUGUUCCUUGUUGUAGUGAGACACCAAUGUAUCAAAACAGUAAACAGCCAUCUCCCUAUUUGCAGACACCAUCUUUUUCCUCCCUGCUAAAUUCAAUCAAAUUUCACACAAAACAAGAAUCGAUCUUUCAAUUAACAGUUUAACAAAUCAAUAGAUCAAAUUUCAGUCAAAUUAAAGAUUCUAAAAAAGGGUUUUUUUCCCCUUUCUUCUUAUGUGCCUAACAAAUCCUAAGCAGAUAUGGGUACAGAUUACAGAAUAAGAACAAAGCAAAGAGCCUAGUGAGAAUUCCUCUUCCUUUUUCCACUUUGGGCUCUUUUUUGAGUUUUUUU
Molecule: long non-coding RNA, 1524 nt
Filed under: Solanum tuberosum (potato)
Lineage: Eukaryota; Viridiplantae; Streptophyta; Magnoliopsida; Solanales; Solanaceae
Description: long non-coding RNA (STUB_LNC010471)
Source: RNAcentral